CAGUAGCCGCGGUAAUACGUAGGUGGCAAGCGUUGUCCGGAAUUAUUGGGCGUAAAGGGCUCGCAGGCGGUUCCUUAAGUCUGAUGUGAAAGCCCCCGGCUCAACCGGGGAGGGUCAUUGGAAACUGGGAAACUUGAGUGCAGAAGAGGAGAGUGGAACUCCACGUGUAGCGGUGAAAUGCGUAGAGAUGUGGAGGAACACCAGUGGCGAAGGCGACUCUCUGGUCUGUAACUGACGCUGAGGAGCGAAAGCGUGGGGAGCGAACAGGAUUAGAUACCCCCGUAGUCCCUGUCUCUUAUAA
RNAcentral lists this ribosomal RNA (301 nucleotides) under uncultured bacterium. RNAcentral describes it as "partial 16S ribosomal RNA". It matches the Rfam family "Bacterial small subunit ribosomal RNA", at positions 509 to 809 of the family's 1533-position model. The record is from RNAcentral.